This 533-nucleotide ribosomal RNA is filed under the name uncultured bacterium. Its description in RNAcentral is "bacterial SSU rRNA". It matches the Rfam family "Bacterial small subunit ribosomal RNA", at positions 1 to 533 of the family's 1533-position model. The record is from RNAcentral.
AUUAGAGUUUGAUCCUGGCUCAGAUUGAACGCUGGCGGCAUGCCUUACACAUGCAAGUCGAACGGCAGCACGGAGCUUGCUCUGGUGGCGAGUGGCGAACGGGUGAGUAAUAUAUCGGAACGUACCCUAGAGUGGGGGAUAACGUAGCGAAAGUUACGCUAAUACCGCAUACGAUCUAAGGAUGAAAGUGGGGGAUCGCAAGACCUCAUGCUCGUGGAGCGGCCGAUAUCUGAUUAGCUAGUUGGUAGGGUAAAAGCCUACCAAGGCAUCGAUCAGUAGCUGGUCUGAGAGGACGACCAGCCACACUGGAACUGAGACACGGUCCAGACUCCUACGGGAGGCAGCAGUGGGGAAUUUUGGACAAUGGGCGAAAGCCUAAUCCAGCAAUGCCGCGUGAGUGAAGAAGGCCUUCGGGUUGUAAAGCUCUUUUGUCAGGGAAGAAACGGUGAGAGCUAAUAUCUUUUGCUAAUGACGGUACCUGAAGAAUAAGCACCGGCUAACUACGUGCCAGCAGCCGCGGUAAUACGUAGGGU